UCUAAUGUGGCAGAAUAGUGCAAUAAAUUUAAGCUUUAUAUAAAAAGAAAAAUCUUUUAUUAGAA
RNAcentral lists this transfer RNA (65 nucleotides) under Mesovelia sp. 2279. RNAcentral's name for it is "tRNA-Leu". The record is from RNAcentral. Lineage: Eukaryota; Metazoa; Arthropoda; Insecta; Hemiptera; Mesoveliidae.